This is a non-coding RNA of Odocoileus virginianus texanus, 579 nucleotides long. The record is from RefSeq and is a predicted model, not a curated record. NCBI's taxonomy places the organism in Eukaryota, Metazoa, Chordata, Mammalia, Artiodactyla, Cervidae.
CACAAGAGAGGCAAACAGUAACCUUCUGAAUAAUCUGCAUGAAAAGUGACUUUACAAGACAUAAAGUGUCCAGUUUGGCUGAUGAUGCCUCGUUUGUGCUACUUUAAAGGAGUGGAGUUUGUAUGUUUUAUGCAGCCUACAAGACAUUUGUUGUGGGAGAACACACGAGGAUCACAUGAGGCAGAGUCAUUGGUCACCCAGAAGAUGACCCUCAACAGCAGCAGUACUGCUGUGAUCCGCAGGAAAGAAGGGUCCUUAAUAACUGAGCAAGCUGUUAUAGAGGCAGUGCACCCCAUGCAGUGAAAGUAGUCUCGCCAAGCUUCUUCCCCAGGACCUACCUCAGCAGCACCUCAACAUCAAGUUUUAUCGAGAUAUAAUUGACACACAUCACUGUAUGAGUUUCAGGUAUACAACAUAAAGGUUUGACUCACUGUAAAAUGAUUGCAACAGUUGGUUGGUUAUAAAGAAACUGUUUAUCUCCUGUCAACCUUACUUCAAUUUGGUGUUUGAGUCUGUGAGAGAACAGCUUAAGACCACUCUGUGGUUAUUCCUACCCAUUCAGUGGCCAGCGUCUUGGGG